CCUACGGGAGGCAGCAGUGAGGAAUAUUGGUCAAUGGACGAGAGUCUGAACCAGUCAAGUAGCGUGAAGGAUGACUGCCCUAUGGGUUGUAAACUUCUUUUAUAUGGGAAUAAAAUGUUCCACGUGUGGGAUUUUGUAUGUACCAUAUGAAUAAGGAUCGGCUAACUCCGUGCCAGCAGCCGCGGUAAUACGGAGGAUCCGAGCGUUAUCCGGAUUUAUUGGGUUUAAAGGGAGCGUAGGUGGAUUGUUAAGUCAGUUGUGAAAUUUUGCGGCUCAACCGUAAAAUUGCAGUUGAAACUGGCAGUCUUGAGUACAGUAGAGGUGGGCGGAAUUCGAGGUGUAGCGGUGAAAUGCUUAGAUAUCACGAAGAACUCCGAUUGCGAAGGCAGCUCACUGGACUGCAACUGACACUGAGGCUCGAAAGUGUGGGUAUCAAACAGGAUUAGAUACCCUUGUAGUC
This 460-nucleotide ribosomal RNA is filed under the name uncultured bacterium. RNAcentral describes it as "partial 16S ribosomal RNA". It matches the Rfam family "Bacterial small subunit ribosomal RNA", at positions 338 to 795 of the family's 1533-position model. The record is from RNAcentral.